This 514-nucleotide ribosomal RNA is filed under the name Clostridioides difficile. RNAcentral's name for it is "bacterial LSU rRNA". It matches the Rfam family "Bacterial large subunit ribosomal RNA", at positions 2279 to 2792 of the family's 2925-position model. Lineage: Bacteria; Bacillati; Bacillota; Clostridia; Peptostreptococcales; Peptostreptococcaceae. The record is from RNAcentral.
GCGGUCGCCUCCCAAAAGGUAACGGAGGCGCUCAAAGGUUCUCUCAGUACGGUCGGACAUCGUACGUAGUGUGUAAAGGCAAAAGAGAUCUUGAUUGCGAGACAUACAGGUCGAGCAAGGAGGAAAAUCGGACUUAGUGAUCCGGUUGUUCGUCGUGGUAGGGCCAUCGCUCAACGGAGAAAAGCUACCCUCGGGAUAACAGGCUUCACUCCCCCAAGAGUCCACAUCGACGGGGAGGUUUGGCACCUCGAUGUCGCCUCAUCACAUCCUGGGGCUGUCGUAGGUCCCAAGGGUUGGGCUGUUCGCCCAUUAAAGUGGUACGCGAGCUGGGUUCAGAACGUCGUGAGACAGUUCGGUCCCUAUCCGUCGCAGGCGUAGGAAAUUUGAGAAGACCUGUCCUUAGUACGAGAGGACCGGGAUGGACGUACCUCUGGUGUACCAGUUGUCCUGCCAAGGGCAUGGCUGGGUAGCUAUGUACGGAAUGGAUAAGCGCUGAAAGCAUCUAAGCGCGAAG